AGGAGGAGCAGCCCCAGUGGCGGGGCAGCUCUGGAAACCUGGGUUCAGCUCCGGCAGGAACUCCGUCUGCAGGGCCUGGAGGCUCCGGGGCGGG
RNAcentral lists this microRNA precursor (94 nucleotides) under Canis lupus familiaris (dog). RNAcentral describes it as "mir-8834 microRNA precursor family". It matches the Rfam family "mir-8834 microRNA precursor family". Lineage: Eukaryota; Metazoa; Chordata; Mammalia; Carnivora; Canidae. The record is from Rfam by way of RNAcentral.